Molecule: transfer RNA, 91 nt
Filed under: Fidelibacterota bacterium
Lineage: Bacteria; Pseudomonadati; Fidelibacterota
Description: tRNA-Ser
Rfam family: tRNA
About the family: Transfer RNA (tRNA) molecules are approximately 80 nucleotides in length.
Source: RNAcentral
GGAAAGAUGACCGAGCUGGCUGAAGGUGCACGAUUGGAAAUCGUGUGUACUGUUAAUAGCGGUACCCCGGGUUCGAAUCCCGGUCUUUCCG